Long non-coding RNA from Aedes aegypti (yellow fever mosquito), 573 nucleotides. RefSeq lists it as uncharacterized. Lineage: Eukaryota; Metazoa; Arthropoda; Insecta; Diptera; Culicidae. The transcript is spliced from 3 exons. The record is from RefSeq and is a predicted model, not a curated record.
CAUCCCCAGUGAAGGACGCCAUUUUUUGCUUACCAGUUCUUUUGCGUGGUUAGGUGGAUAAAUUAUUUUGUUAAUAAUUGAACCAUUAAAGCAUCAACAGAUUAGAGAUACUUGAUGAUCAAGAGAUUGAUGCCCGUGAUAAAAUUCAUAGAAAAUGACUAUUGGGAAGCGGCUUCCUUAUGGUAUUCUAGCUCAAUUGCUGACACAUCAUGAAGAUCAAUUUGGCCUAUAAGUCAUUGGUGACUUUAUUUACUGUACCGUGGCCUACCGCCCAUUCCACCCGAUAAAGUUUUGCAUUUUUAGUUGACGGUCAUCACAUCCAACGAGCCGGGCGUAGCUAAUGUAAAGCUAAGCACCAAUUGCGCCAACUGUGGAUGGCAUACCACCUUGUUAGUGGCCCCGGAAGAUCUUCAAGUUCUGGAACAGUUAUUUGGUCAACUUGUCAAUGCAUCUUCGUAAGGCUAACUGUAAAGUCUGAGAUAAUGUUAACUGAAUUCCAUUAGAUUCUAUUUCAUUCCGCACUUUUUUGUAGUAUGAACUGGACCGAAAAGGUGUGGACAAAUUAUCAAAAAC